This is a long non-coding RNA of Oncorhynchus tshawytscha (Chinook salmon), 644 nucleotides long. The record is from Ensembl. Lineage: Eukaryota; Metazoa; Chordata; Actinopteri; Salmoniformes; Salmonidae.
UGGAUGGGCUAUUUACUGAUGGGCUAUGUACUGGUGCAGUGAUCUGUGAGCUGCUCUGACAGCUGGUGCUUAAAGUUAGUAAGGGAGAUAUGUCUCCAGCUUAAGUGAUUAUUUUUUUUGCAAUUCAUUCCCGUAAUUGGCAAGCAGAGAACUGGAAGGGAAAGCGGCCAAAGGAGAAACUGGCUUUGGGGGUGACCAGUGAAAUAUGACUGCUGGAGCGGGUGCUACGGGUGGGUGCUGCUUUCCUUUAAUUUCUUAAGCGAUUGAACAUUAGCUAGCAGGACGGAAGGCAAAGGCAGAUUAGCCACUCGUCAUCUGAUCCUCACAAGGCACCCUGAUCUUUUCCCGCUAAAUCUCAGUUUCCUUCUCCAGGGAAUGACGGGGAUCUGGGCCUGGUCGGGUGUCUGUAGUAUAUCCCUCCCGUCCAACUCAUUGAAGAAACACUCUUAGUCUAAUCUGAGAUGGGUGGACCGAAAACCCAGUGACAACGCUUGGGUCUGCAGCUGUCAUUUUCCGUUGAGCAAGAGAAAUGGCCCUGUAUUUACCAGAGAAGGUAGCUCAUCCACCAUGGCAGAAGAGGAAGAUCCAGACCUAUCCACCAUGGCAGACAAUGAAGUUCGAGGCCCCUCGGCCGCUGGAGAAUG